Molecule: unclassified non-coding RNA, 691 nt
Filed under: uncultured Prochlorococcus sp.
Lineage: Bacteria; Bacillati; Cyanobacteriota; Cyanophyceae; Synechococcales; Prochlorococcaceae
Description: partial may contain 16S ribosomal RNA, 16S-23S ribosomal RNA intergenic spacer, and 23S ribosomal RNA
Rfam family: Bacterial small subunit ribosomal RNA (bases 1-96)
Source: RNAcentral
CCCUUGUGGAGGAGGACGCCGAAGGUGGGGCUAAUGACUGGGGUGAAGUCGUAACAAGGUAGCCGUACCGGAAGGUGCGGCUGGAUCACCUCCUAACAGGGAGACAACAAAAUGUUUAAUAUUAUUAUUUUGUCACCUUAGGUCGAUCGGUAUCUCACAUUCUUAAUUACUUUAAGGAUUUCAUUUCCUAAGUUUUUCUAGGUCACACCCAUUAUUUUUCCUGGGCCAUUAGCUCAGGUGGUUAGAGCGCACCCCUGAUAAGGGUGAGGUCCCUGGUUCAAGUCCAGGAUGGCCCAUAUCUCUAUGUUGGGGGUAUAGCUCAGUUGGUAGAGCGCCUGCUUUGCAAGCAGGAUGUCAGCGGUUCGAGUCCGCUUACCUCCACUGAUUACCACCUCUUCCAUAAUUUGGAGAAAGGAAAUUUUUUGAGUUGUGAUCAAAUUCUGAACGAAUCUAGCUUCCUAAUUAUCUUUAUUAAGAUGCUGGACUCAUUGAAUAAAUUUCAUUGUUUUCAGAGAACCUUGACAACUGCAUAGAUUAUUUUUAAAGACAAUAAGCAUCUUUAAUGAUGCAGAUUUAUUAUUUGUGCGAAUGCAUUAAUAACAAUUCUAUUAAGCUGAUGCUUCAAUUAUGAAGUUAUUGGUCAAGCUACAAAGGGCUCACGGAGGAUACCUAGGCACACAGAGGCGAUGAG